Long non-coding RNA from Cornus florida, 221 nucleotides. RefSeq lists it as uncharacterized. The record is from RefSeq and is a predicted model, not a curated record. NCBI's taxonomy places the organism in Eukaryota, Viridiplantae, Streptophyta, Magnoliopsida, Cornales, Cornaceae. The transcript has 2 exons.
UAGAUGAUGGGAUCUUUGAUUUCUCUCUUGACUCUGCCCAAAAAAAAAAUGUUUCCCUUAAUUUAUUUUGAUAUGAUCAACCGUUGGUGCGUCAAAUUCAUUUUGUAGGUCAAAUUCUGCAACUUACAGGUGAAGUAGAAGGUGAAUGGCCGAAUCAUCAAUCAUUGGGAGAAAAAAAAAAAUAACAAUUUUAGACUACGAAACCCAACUGUCGUGGACAA